GAUGAACGCUAGCGGCAGGCCUAACACAUGCAAGUCGAGGGGGAGGUUACUUUCGGGUAACUGAGACCGGCGUACGGGUGCGUAACGCGUAUACAAUCUGCCUUUCACUGGGGGAUAGCCCGAAGAAAUUUGGAUUAAUACCCCAUAGUAUAGUAAUACGGCAUCGUGAUGCUAUUAAAGCUUAGGUGGUGAAAGAUGAGUAUGCGUUCUAUUAGCUAGUUGGAGAGGCAACGGCUCCCCAAGGCGAUGAUAGAUAGGGGUUCUGAGAGGGAUGUCCCCCACACUGGUACUGAGAUACGGACCAGACUCCUACGGGAGGCAGCAGUGAGGAAUAUUGAACAAUGGUCGGAAGACUGAUCCAGCCAUGCCGCGUGCAGGAUGAAGGUCUUAUGGAUUGUAAACUGCCUUUGUAAGGGAAGAAUAAGGGCUACGCGUAGUUUGAUGACGGUACCUUACGAAUAAGCAUCGGCUAACUCCGUG
Molecule: ribosomal RNA, 480 nt
Filed under: uncultured bacterium
Lineage: Bacteria
Description: partial 16S ribosomal RNA
Rfam family: Bacterial small subunit ribosomal RNA
Source: RNAcentral